This 252-nucleotide ribosomal RNA is filed under the name uncultured bacterium. Its description in RNAcentral is "partial 16S ribosomal RNA". It matches the Rfam family "Bacterial small subunit ribosomal RNA", at positions 524 to 776 of the family's 1533-position model. The record is from RNAcentral.
UACGAAGGGGGCUAGCGUUGCUCGGAAUACUGGGCGUAAAGCGUGCGCAGGCGGUGAUGUAAGACAGAUGUGAAAUCCCCGGGCUCAACCUGGGAACUGCAUUUGUGACUGCAUCGCUAGGGUACGGCAGAGGGGGAUGGAAUUCCGCGUGUAGCAGUGAAAUGCGUAGAUAUGCGGAGGAACACCGAUGGCGAAGGCAAUCCCCUGGGCCUGUACUGACGCUCAUGCACGAAAGCGUGGGGAGCAAACAGG